CGCUAUCCGAGGACUUACAGACUGAUCAGGAAGCUCGGCCAAAGCCUAAGGGAGAGGAACAUAUCUAAUUUGCACUUGGUGUGUGCCACAAUACAGGGACUGACUUCCGGAAGUUGCGCUAGUUURCGCUGAGGGUUUUCAACAAUCUGGAAGUUUGAAGGGGAAGAGGGGUGUUGAUAAAGACUCCUCCAAGAUGAUUUGUUGUUGAUCUUCGACAUGCUGGCUGGCGGCAAUUUGAUUCCUCAGUGCAAGCAAAACGAUCAGUUCAGUGUUUAUAUGAGGAUAAAGGGGAUAAGAAAGAUUGCAUAAUGGUUUGGACGAUUUUAUCAUCGUCUCGUCAGCCAAUGAGGAUYGAGCAAUUUCUUUUGAAUUUUAUUGUUCUAUUGAAGUCCUAGUAAUCAAUGUCCAAUUCACAAUUCUCACAUUAAUCUGUUAAUGGUUUUAGUCUUCUUAAUGAGAAAUCAUCAUAAAUUACGCUAAGUACA
This is a long non-coding RNA of Actinia tenebrosa (Australian red waratah sea anemone), 485 nucleotides long. RefSeq lists it as uncharacterized. NCBI's taxonomy places the organism in Eukaryota, Metazoa, Cnidaria, Anthozoa, Actiniaria, Actiniidae. The record is from RefSeq and is a predicted model, not a curated record.